CUUUGAAUUGCAUCCAUCCAUCCCCCAUCCAGAGGACAUGUCCCUCCUUUCUCCUCCCAAAUCCAGCACCUGCCAGGAGCCCACUGAUAACCCCCUAGCAGAACAGAAACUCACCUUCACCUCAGCCAGAAGCCUUCAAAACACUCUGAAUUAUCCCCCCCACCCCCUUAAGAAAAUAAAUAAGAGGGAAAUUUUAACCAGAUCAUCUACUUUUUAUUUCAGAGGAAAGAUUUGCAUUAUUUACCUUUAUUUAUAUACAUGUACUUCACAUUUGUAUUUAAAAUGCACAGACCUCCCAAGAAUUUUCUCGUUCCGGCUUUAAAUUAGCUGUUAUUUUACAAUACAAAAAAUUAUACCAAAAAACUGCAAUCCUAAAUGUGUGUAUGUAUAACACCCACAACCCCAGCAAUGAAAUAGUUUACAAUACUUGCUCCUAUUUACAUAUGAAUGCAAUAAAUGCUAAAUUAUACAUAUUAACAAACUAAGCUCAAGUCUGAACACAGAUAAGAAUCAUAAAUAAUUACAGAACAAAGAGGGAAAAAAAUCCAGAAUACAAUUAAUUCAAGGAUCUUAGUUUAAAGAACAUUUAUUGUGCACAAAUUUCAGAGUAAUAUAAAACUCUUUUUUUUCUUUUUUUUUCUUUUUUUUUUUUUUAAUGGACUGACAUGUGAUACACUCUGCGACAAUUGUUACUUUUCUCUUUUUUCCUACUGGUGAGGUUUGUGGAAUCAAUACUAAAUGGAGAGGAAAUGUCUAAAGAAUUCUAGUACCUGGAAGACGCACACAAAUCGUCUGUGUGAACAAAGAAACAGACUGAACAAAACCUGCCCUGAUGCAGAGAAAAUCAGCAGAUACACAUACUGUAGUAGUCCUGGCAUGGAAACUCAGCUUGUUUCAGCAGCUACCAACAGAAAAAGCAGGAAUUUGUCUAAAAUUGCAAAGAACACACCCAAAACUGAGGCGCACACCCCGAGCCAUCCCUUCCCUUCCGUCCCAGCCCAGCAAUUAUCAAUAAAUCCCAGCUUCCCAUGGGAAGGGGCUGAGGGCUCUGGAUGCAGCUGGUGCCUGGAGAAGGAAAAGCAGCUGGAACAGCUGGAGCAGCAAAGGACGGGGGCAGCCCAGCCCAUGGCACUGGAGCCCCAGCGGUAUGGAGAAGGCGCCAGGGGUAUGAAAAAGGCCCCAGGUUUGGUUUCAGCCCCAAAGGCUCCUUUCAGCUCCUGCAGGGCCAGCAGGCUCAGUGCCAUUUGCAGCACCCCACAAAGCCCAGCAGGGCCUGGGCACCUUGGGCACGUUCCUGCACAGAGCUGGAGCUCCUGGGCACCCUCCAAGGAGGACACAAAGCAUCCUCAGGAAGGUGGAUCUGCCAGCAGAGGCUGUCCAUGGUUCCACACUACUGAAUUUUGGACAUUACAUGCCAUGGCUUGA
Molecule: long non-coding RNA, 1425 nt
Filed under: Junco hyemalis (dark-eyed junco)
Lineage: Eukaryota; Metazoa; Chordata; Aves; Passeriformes; Passerellidae
Description: lncRNA (ENSJHYG00000016019.1)
Source: RNAcentral